CCUACGGGAGGCAGCAGUAGGGAAUCUUUCACAAUGGGCGAAAGCCUGAUGGAGCAACGCCGCGUGCAGGAUGAAGGCCUUCGGGUUGUAAACUGCUUUUAUAAGCGAGAAAUAUGAUGGUAACUUAUGAAUAAGGAUCGGCUAACUACGUGCCAGCAGCCGCGGUCAUACGUAGGAUCCGAGCAUUAUCCGGAGUGACUGGGUGUAAAGAGUUGCGUAGGUGGCAUAAUAAGUAGCUAGUGAAAUCUGGUGGCUCAACCAUUCAGACUAUUAGCUAAACUGUUAAGCUCGAGACCGUUAGGGGUAACUGGAAUUUCUAGUGUAGGAGUGAAAUCCGUAGAUAUUAGAAGGAACACCAAUAGCGUAGGCAGGUUGCUGGGACGGUUCUGACACUCAGGCACGAAAGCGUAGGGAGCAAACAGGAUUAGAUACCCCAGUAGUC
Molecule: ribosomal RNA, 442 nt
Filed under: uncultured bacterium
Lineage: Bacteria
Description: partial 16S ribosomal RNA
Rfam family: Bacterial small subunit ribosomal RNA
Source: RNAcentral